RNAcentral lists this ribosomal RNA (430 nucleotides) under Pseudomonadota bacterium. RNAcentral describes it as "Proteobacteria bacterium partial 16S ribosomal RNA". It matches the Rfam family "Bacterial small subunit ribosomal RNA", at positions 355 to 776 of the family's 1533-position model. Lineage: Bacteria; Pseudomonadati; Pseudomonadota. The record is from RNAcentral.
UGGGGAAUAUUGGACAAUGGGGGGAACCCUGAUCCAGCCAUGCCGCGUGUGUGAAGAAGGCCUUAUGGUUGUAAAGCACUUUAAGCGAGGAGGAGGGUACUGGUAUUAAUACUACCAGGUACUGGACGUUACUCGCAGAAUAAGCACCGGCUAACUCUGUGCCAGCAGCCGCGGUAAUACAGAGGGUGCGAGCGUUAAUCGGAAUUACUGGGCGUAAAGCGUGCGUAGGCGGCUAAUUGAGUCGGAUGUGAAAUCCCCGAGCUUAACUUGGGAAUUGCAUUCGAUACUGGUUAGCUAGAGUGUGGGAGAGGAUGGUAGAAUUCCAGGUGUAGCGGUGAAAUGCGUAGAGAUCUGGAGGAAUACCGAUGGCGAAGGCAGCCAUCUGGCCUAACACUGACGCUGAGGUACGAAAGCAUGGGGAGCAAACAGG